Molecule: ribosomal RNA, 492 nt
Filed under: uncultured bacterium
Lineage: Bacteria
Description: partial 16S ribosomal RNA
Rfam family: Bacterial small subunit ribosomal RNA
Source: RNAcentral
AGUGAACGCUGGCGGUAGGCCUAACACAUGCAAGUCGAACGGCAGCACAGUAAGAGCUUGCUCUUACGGGUGGCGAGUGGCGGACGGGUGAGGAAUACAUCGGAAUCUACUUUUUCGUGGGGGAUAACGUAGGGAAACUUACGCUAAUACCACAUACGACCUACGGGUGAAAGCAGGGGAUCUUCGGACCUUGCGCGAUUGAAUGAGCCGAUGUCGGAUUAGCUAGUUGGCGGGGUAAAGGCCCACCAAGGCGACGAUCCGUAGCUGGUCUGAGAGGAUGAUCAGCCACACUGGAACUGAGACACGGUCCAGACUCCUACGGGAGGCAGCAGUGGGGAAUAUUGGACAAUGGGCGCAAGCCUGAUCCAGCCAUACCGCGUGGGUGAAGAAGGCCUUCGGGUUGUAAAGCCCUUUUGUUGGGAAAGAAAAGCAGCAGGCUAAUACCCCGCUGUUCUGACGGUACCCAAAGAAUAAGCACCGGCUAACUUCGUG